AAAGUGGCAGACAGACAAAAUGCAUAGAAUAAACAAUGUUAUGUCUGUUAUGUCUUCUUUUUACAUGCAGAAGCACAGAUUUUAAAAAACUGGCCAUGGGAAGUACUGCUGUUCCCAUCUAGAGAACUCCAACUCUAACUUAAAACAAAAACAAGCUUCUAGUCCUCCUGGCUACAAAGAUAUAUUUAAAAGCUUGCAUUAGUGACAUGAUCUAGGAAUGAAGCAGUGACUUGACCAGAGAAGAAGAGACAAUCCAGCAGAAAAUAAAAACAGACCCAAGCACAAGCGAAGAACCUUAGACCCAAGAGCAUGAAAAUCCUUCCUAAGCCUGAGAUGAGCAGUGGUGUUUAGUUAUAACAGGACACACGGACCCACCUCUACAAAACAUAUGAAGAUACACCAAAAAGAAAAACUGAUGUGGACCUUCAACUACUGUUAAUUUUGAUUUAACCCUUUUUUAUUUUUGCUUUUUAUUUUAUCUAGAAAUGUUUGUAGUAGA
This is a long non-coding RNA of Sceloporus undulatus (fence lizard), 499 nucleotides long. RefSeq lists it as uncharacterized. The transcript is spliced from 3 exons. NCBI's taxonomy places the organism in Eukaryota, Metazoa, Chordata, Lepidosauria, Squamata, Phrynosomatidae. The record is from RefSeq and is a predicted model, not a curated record.